GACGAACGCUGGCGGCGUGCUUAACACAUGCAAGUCGAACGAUGAACCCGGAGCUUGCUCCGGUGGAUUAGUGGCGAACGGGUGAGUAACACGUGAGUAACCUGCCCUUGACUCUGGGAUAACUGCGGGAAACUGUAGCUAAUACCGGAUACGACCCUCGGCGGCAUCGCCAGGGGGUGGAAAGAAUUUCGGUCAAGGAUGGACUCGCGGCCUCUCAGCUAGGUGGUGAGGUAACGGCACAACAAGGCGACGACGGGUAGCCGGCCGUGAGCGGGGGAGCAGCCACACUGGGAGUGAGACGAGGCCCAGACUACUACGGGAGGCAGCAGUGGGGGAUAUUGCACAAUGGGCGCAAGCCUGAUGCAGCAACGCCGCGUGGGGGAUGACGGCCUUCGGGUUGUAAACCUCUUUUAGUAGCGAAGAAGCGAAAGUGACGGUACCUGCAGAAAAAGCACCGGCUAACUACGUGCCAGCCGCCGCGGUAA
RNAcentral lists this ribosomal RNA (485 nucleotides) under uncultured bacterium. RNAcentral's name for it is "partial 16S ribosomal RNA". It matches the Rfam family "Bacterial small subunit ribosomal RNA", at positions 28 to 523 of the family's 1533-position model. The record is from RNAcentral.